UUUUUUAGAAUGCCACACUUAUAUUACUGAUAUGCUACUCUCAACCAAUCAAAAAGUUUUCUUGGAAUUCACUCAUUCCAUCAUAAUUUUUAAAAAAUAUAUUUUAAUUUAUUAUUUUUUAAAAAAAAGAAGAUAUGAUUAAUCGGAGAUAGAUAAUAUAUUAUAAGUGUUACGCAGUAGACCUCCUCACUAUUUAGGCCGCGUUAGACUAUGCGUUAGUUAUCAUCCACCAUAAAGGUGGCACUCAGAUCGAUGAAGCUGUAAUGGUUCAACCGUACAUCAAGCUUAAUAAGAAUACUAGUAUAAUUACCCGCACGAUGCGGCGGGCAGACACUAUCGAAACAAUUAUUAUUUCUAUCAAAUAAAGAAUAUUAGUUUAAAUGGUCUGCAAAAAUUAGUGAAAAACUAUUAAAGAUGAUAUUUUUUUACUUAUUAACUCAACAAUCUGUAUAAUUAAACUUAAUAGUUCA
This 470-nucleotide long non-coding RNA is filed under the name Ananas comosus (pineapple). Its description in RNAcentral is "long non-coding RNA (ACOM_LNC003415)". Lineage: Eukaryota; Viridiplantae; Streptophyta; Magnoliopsida; Poales; Bromeliaceae. The record is from RNAcentral.